UCUUUUAGCUGUGGAGAAGGACACAGAGUUUUAGGAUUAGCUAACCAAGAUGCCAGAUCACUAGGUACACUGCCAAGAAGUAGCUAAAAUGCAUCAGCACAGAUUAGGGGAAAAAAAGAGUAGGAGCUUAUCCACAAGGCCAUCACCUGUGCCAAGAGCAACAAUAAGCCAUGCUGGGCUUCUUUUCCACACAGGCAAGAAGAAAGCAGGAGAAAUGAGGAAUGAGUAGCAGCACACAUCUGCCUCACAAUUGGCCUGCAGCAAAAGGACACACAGGAUCUCUCCAUGCUGCUGCUGUUUUUGCACUAAUUUUACAGCAGGAUAGUGCCAGCUCAGUUCUCUCUUUCCACUGCUCAGCUCUAGAAUCAGUAGAAGUGGCAAGGGAUGGUGGUGGCUAUGAGGAAGCAGGUUGCUCACUCUGAAAUUGCAUUGCAGGAAGACUCUUUCCAUAAGGCAUCCCUCACGGCAUACUAGGCCUAUGAAACCAUCCUACAGUGCUUCAACAGUGGGCCCUGAACUUUCCAGGCUGGCUGAGAGGAAACUUGAGCCUAUGUCCUGGCAUUUUAUCCCUGUGUCUAACAAAAGAAAAGAGGAAAAGAGGAAGAAGAGAGGGCCAAAAUAAUAUGAAGCAAACAUGAGAAAUAGCUCAACACUGGUAAGGACAGACAGUUCCCUUACUGGAGUCCAAAAGCAGCUUUUUGCCAGUGGAAGAGCCAAAGCCAUAGGUUGAGAAAAAGUUGGAAUGGUGUGUGUUCAAACAUAGCAAGGGUGUGUGAGGAGAAGGUAGAGUAACGUUUCCUAAGCAUGUUAUAGUCAUUAAAAUAAAACAUCUCUUUAUGUUGAGUGCUUUAUGUUGGCUAUGUCUAAAAAAGCGUACAACAGCUUCCAGACAUACUGGUCUGUCUGCAGGGAGUUUCUCUGGUUAUUUUUAAAGCAAAAGAAUGGCAUUUUUCCUGAAAAUGUCUGAUCAAGGAAACUUGCAUUGCUGUGCUGAACAUGUACCACUUGCUGGUUUUUAACCCCCAACUGAACUUAUAAAGAAUUUGCAUUGAGUUUUUGUCCUGAUGUGCCAAAAAGAAAGGAGCACCAUCAUGUUUAACACCAAACCAAAAGUGUGCAGUCUAAGCCAUGGACAGGCUGAGAGACAGAGGGACUAGUGCCAGAUUCCAGCCAUCAGCAAAGAACAAGCACCUCAGAUGUACCAAUCUGGUAAUGGAGGUGCAGACAGUGAAAGGACAAAAUGAUUGCAGCAGCACCUGAAGAAUAAACACACACAUGGUUCUGGGUGUGUAAGAAGAACCCAAAAACUUCAGACAAACCACACAUGUUUGGGAUUUCUAUCUUUGUACUGAAAUACACCCAGUAACAGAGGCGUGGAAAAGAUCAAGCAUAGCUGGUGUAGCACUGUACCAGCCACUGAGAAGAAAAUUAACUCUAUCCCAGCUGAAACCAGGACACCAAACUACCAGGUACAUUUUUAAAGGAAAGAGACAAAGCACAGAUGUCCCUAGAUGAAUGAGCAAAGUGGAAUGCAGUCAGAAGGAGAAGGUAAAAAGAUGUGAAGUCACCAUCACUAACAAAGGAACCCUUUAUCAGCAAUGGCUUAAAAGGCAUUCCCUUCCACACUGUGGCAAGGUGUGGUAUCCUGUAAUGCAGGAUAUUGCCACUGCAAUUCUAUGCCACACAAGAAUAAUGUGAAGGAAAAUUAGAAAAAGUGGGUAAGAGCAAAUAUGUUCUAAACGGAUAUAGACCACAUUAGAAAAAAUAAGAAACUUCAGCCUAAACAAUUUUCAGUGUCUAUUAAUUUUUCACGGCAGUCCCAGUACAUUAAAUCACUGUUUCCAUUUUAAUUCAGGCUUUUGACUGAGCUAAUGAAACUAAUCACUUCAAAAGGAAUUCUUACCUUGUCU
Molecule: long non-coding RNA, 1910 nt
Organism: Passer domesticus (house sparrow)
Lineage: Eukaryota; Metazoa; Chordata; Aves; Passeriformes; Passeridae
Exons: 3
Source: RefSeq, a predicted model, not a curated record